AGCAACUCAUCCAAGACUUGCAAAUGUGAGUGGAAAAUAUUUUGCAGACUGUAAUGAAGUUUGGGUUCCAAUUUAACAGAGGCAGCACGCAUAUGGUCAGCUUCUGAGAUUAUAGUUUCUAAAAAUUCUAAUGCACAUUUAGAUCCAUUAGAGACCCUGCUCUGAUUCUCACCAAAAAAGAAAAGAAAAAAUCAGUGAAGGACAUAGUACUGUAGUAAUUUUGGUAUUACGAGAAAUUAGUGAGUUCUUGUAUAAAGAAAAAGUUUUUGCGAUAAUAUAGCAGGAUAUAUGUAUACACAAAUCUAGGAGUAUGUUUGUAUAGUAAUUAAGCUAGAUAAUUUAAUAUGUACAUUGCUUUAUUUUCUUCGUAUAUGUAAGUUUGUGAAGUUUAAUUUGAUGCUUACCAAUCGUAAAAUUUCUGAUUGGCAGUUUAUUUACAUGUAAUUGAUGAAUAAAUUUGUAAUACUAAUAUAUGUGGAUAUAUGGUAAACU
RNAcentral lists this long non-coding RNA (492 nucleotides) under Nicotiana benthamiana. Its description in RNAcentral is "long non-coding RNA (NBEN_LNC002750)". Lineage: Eukaryota; Viridiplantae; Streptophyta; Magnoliopsida; Solanales; Solanaceae. The record is from RNAcentral.